UACGUAGGGUGCAAGCGUUAUCCGGAAUUAUUGGGCGUAAAGCGUUCGUAGGCUGUCUGCUAAGUUCACUGUUAAAUCCGGUCGCUCAACGAUCGAAGCGCGGUGAAAACUGACAGACUAGAGAAUGGCAGAGGCAACUGGAAUUCCACAUGUAGGGGUAAAAUCCGUUGAUAUGUGGAGGAACACCAAAAGCGAAGGCAGGUUGCUGGGCCAUUUCUGACGCUGAGGAACGAAAGCGUGGGGAGCAAACAGGAUUAGAUACCCGCGUA
This 269-nucleotide ribosomal RNA is filed under the name uncultured prokaryote. RNAcentral describes it as "partial 16S ribosomal RNA". It matches the Rfam family "Bacterial small subunit ribosomal RNA", at positions 524 to 792 of the family's 1533-position model. The record is from RNAcentral.